RNAcentral lists this ribosomal RNA (253 nucleotides) under uncultured bacterium. RNAcentral's name for it is "partial 16S ribosomal RNA". It matches the Rfam family "Bacterial small subunit ribosomal RNA", at positions 524 to 774 of the family's 1533-position model. The record is from RNAcentral.
UACGAAGGGGGCUAGCGUUGUUCGGAGUUACUGGGCGUAAAGGGCGCGUAGGCGGCCCUCCAAGUCGGGCGUGAAAGCCCACGGCUCAACCGUGGAAUUGCGCUCGAGACUGAAGGGCUCGAGGACGGGAGAGGAUGGUGGAAUUCCCAGUGUAGAGGUGAAAAUUCGUAGAUAUUGGGAAGAACACCGGUGGCGAAGGCGGCCAUCUGGACCGCAACGUGACGCUGAGGCGCGAAAGCGUGGGGAGCAAACA